ACCUGGCUGGUUCAAUUGUUGGAGCAUGUGACUCUUGAUCUCUGGGUUGUGAGUUCGAGCCCCACGCUGGGUA
This 73-nucleotide transfer RNA is filed under the name Ailuropoda melanoleuca (giant panda). It matches the Rfam family "tRNA". From Rfam's summary of the family: Transfer RNA (tRNA) molecules are approximately 80 nucleotides in length. Their secondary structure includes four short double-helical elements and three loops (D, anti-codon, and T loops). Further hydrogen bonds mediate the characteristic L-shaped molecular structure. tRNAs have two regions of fundamental functional importance: the anti-codon, which is responsible for specific mRNA codon recognition, and the 3' end, to which the tRNAs corresponding amino acid is attached (by aminoacyl-tRNA synthetases). tRNAs cope with the degeneracy of the genetic code in two manners: having more than one tRNA (with a specific anti-codon) for a particular amino acid; and 'wobble' base-pairing, i.e. permitting non-standard base-pairing at the 3rd anti-codon position. Lineage: Eukaryota; Metazoa; Chordata; Mammalia; Carnivora; Ursidae. The record is from Rfam by way of RNAcentral.